GACGAACGCUGGCGGCGUGCUUAACACAUGCAAGUCGAACGGAAAGGCCCUGCUUGCAGGGUACUCGAGUGGCGAACGGGUGAGUAACACGUGGGUGAUCUGCCCUGCACUUCGGGAUAAGCCUGGGAAACUGGGUCUAAUACCGGAUAGGAGCCAUUUUUAGUGUGAUGGUUGGAAAGUUUUUUCGGUGUAGGAUGAGCUCGCGGCCUAUCAGCUUGUUGGUGGGGUAAUGGCCUACCAAGGCGGCGACGGGUAGCCGGCCUGAGAGGGUGGACGGCCACAUUGGGACUGAGAUACGGCCCAGACUCCGACGGGAGGCAGCAGUGGGGAAUAUUGCACAGUGGGCGCAAGCCUGAUGCAGCGACGCCGCGGGGGGGAUGACGGCCUUCGGGUUGUAAACUCCUUUCGCUAGGGACGAAGCUUUUUGUGACGGUACCUAGAUAAGAAGCACCGGCUAACUACGUG
RNAcentral lists this ribosomal RNA (465 nucleotides) under uncultured bacterium. RNAcentral describes it as "partial 16S ribosomal RNA". It matches the Rfam family "Bacterial small subunit ribosomal RNA", at positions 28 to 507 of the family's 1533-position model. The record is from RNAcentral.